Suricata suricatta (meerkat) is the source of this 613-nucleotide long non-coding RNA. RefSeq lists it as uncharacterized. Lineage: Eukaryota; Metazoa; Chordata; Mammalia; Carnivora; Herpestidae. The record is from RefSeq and is a predicted model, not a curated record. The transcript has 3 exons.
AGAAUAACCGGGCCCAGCGCGGACUCCCGGUGUCCUCCCUAGCCUCCCCACCCGGACUCGCUGCCCAGUCUGCCCUCUCGGCCGAGCUCGCGGUCCCCGCCUCCUCAGAGCCCGUAGGACCUACCAACCUCACCCGGGGCAGAGGCUCAGUCGUCUGCGCCUGCGCACUCCCGCGUGGGCUGGAGCUCCCAGGAGUCUACGGGGCGACGCGCUCGUAACCUAGCUAUCCCAAGCUACCGGCUCUGCGGUGUGUUUCUGGCAAAGUCCGCGCGGUUCCGGAGUGGACUGCGGCCGUGGAGGAGUUUGUGAACCUCGUCCUCUGGUUCAUUUUCCCCUAGGCUUGCAGUCACCGUUUUCCUUGUGGCAACUUCUGGUGAUCCUCUGGAAGGGGGAUGGUCGCCAGAAAUACCGGGCCAUGAUUAGAAGCUUGGAAUCUUCAGCCCCACUCCUCUCGUGGGAAGGAGAGAACGGCUAAAGAUUUCAUACUAUCAACAGAGUAAAAAUGCAAACCAUGGAAUGGGAGAUUUACAAAUUUUAUCUGAUAAAGGAUAUUUAAAGAGUAUUUAAAGAAUUUCUAUAAAUCAUCAACAGAAAACAACCCAAUUUAACAAUG